Molecule: unclassified non-coding RNA, 173 nt
Filed under: uncultured Rhodotorula
Lineage: Eukaryota; Fungi; Basidiomycota
Description: sequence contains ITS1
Source: RNAcentral
GUGAAUUUAGGGUGACUAUUCGUAGUGCCCGACCUCCACUUCUAACACUGUGCACUUAUUGGCGAGAAUUUUGAAUAGUAAGGUGGCGUUCUGCGCCUCACGAACUUCAAAUCUCUUGCGGCUUUAUUUUAUAACUCCAAGUUAAAGAAUGUAACCAAAUAUAAAACAAAAAA